This 230-nucleotide ribosomal RNA is filed under the name uncultured bacterium. Its description in RNAcentral is "partial 16S ribosomal RNA". It matches the Rfam family "Bacterial small subunit ribosomal RNA", at positions 563 to 790 of the family's 1533-position model. The record is from RNAcentral.
AAGCGUGCGCAGGCGGUUUUGUAAGUCUGAUGUGAAAUCCCCGGGCUCAACCUGGGAAUUGCAUUGGAGACUGCAAGGCUAGAAUCUGGCAGAGGGGGGUAGAAUUCCACGUGUAGCAGUGAAAUGCGUAGAUAUGUGGAGGAACACCGAUGGCGAAGGCAGCCCCCUGGGUCAAGAUUGACGCUCAUGCACGAAAGCGUGGGGAGCAAACAGGAUUAGAUAACCCCUGU